UGGGGCGCAGCAGGCGCGAAAACUCUGCAAUAAGCGAAAGCUUGACAGGGUUAUUCUGAGUGAUUUCCGCUAAGGAAAUCUUUUGGCACCUCUAAAAAUGGUGCAGAAUAAGGGGUGGGCAAGCCUGGUGUCAGCCGCCGCGGUAAUACCAGCACCCCGAGUGGUCGGGACGAUUAUUGGGCCUAAAGCAUCCGUAGCCGGUUCUACAAGUCUUCCGUUAAAUCCACCUGCUCAACAGUUGGGCUGCGGAGGAUACUAUAGAGCUAGGAGGCGGGAGAGGCAAGCGGUACUCAGUGGGUAGGGGUAAAAUCCGUUGAUCCAUUGAAGACCACCAGUGGCGAAGGCGGCUUGCCAGAACGCACUCGACGGUGAGGGAUGAAAGCUGGGGGAGCAAACCGGAUUAGAUACCCGGGUAGUCCCAGCUGUAAACGAUGCAGACUCGGUGAUGAAUAGGCUUCGUGCCUAUUCAGUGCCGCAGGGAAGCCGUUAAGUCUGCCGCCUGGGGAGUACGGUCGCAAGACUGAAACUUAAAGAAAUUGGCGGGGGAGCAC
Molecule: ribosomal RNA, 551 nt
Filed under: uncultured archaeon
Lineage: Archaea
Description: bacterial SSU rRNA
Rfam family: Archaeal small subunit ribosomal RNA
Source: RNAcentral